Molecule: long non-coding RNA, 794 nt
Organism: Homo sapiens (human)
Lineage: Eukaryota; Metazoa; Chordata; Mammalia; Primates; Hominidae
Source: Ensembl
GGGAGGCAGAGCCAAAACCGUAACAGCCAGAGCUAGAGACUCCGGCCUGGGGUUCUGGCUCUGUCCCGUAUCAGCUAGGAAACCCAGGGCAAGCUACUUAAACUCUCAGAGGCUCAGCUUUUUCAUGAGCAAACAGGAAAACAGGGCUAAUGAUUAGUCCUUGGCUUAAAAUACAUACCGCGUGUGAAAUUGCAGGUAUAUAAUAGAUUCACUAAAUGAGAGGGCGAGUUAUCAACACUUACUCUCCAAUGCGUCAUCACCCCCAACACUCCUGUGUAUUUCCUGCAAAUAAGGAUCUUCUCCUACAUGGUCAGUCCGAACAACCUUCAGUCACAACUGAGAAGGUCACAUGGUGCAUCACUGCCGCUCAGUCUCCCCAAGCCCAGUGAUUUCUUCACAAAGCCAAAUAUGGUGAUAGAGACUCUCAUCAAGGACACUGAGUAAACCAGAAACCUGCUUGGGCUCACGUUCCUUGUCUCUUCUUCUCAGAUCCAGGAAAGGAGCUGUCCAGGACAAUGAGGAUAGGCUGAGGAAAGACAGGCCACGGCCUUGCCUCUGUGCCAGCUCUCAUGGGCCAGGCAGAGUAUCCCAGGACAACUGCCUCCACAACCAGCUCCAUCCUUCAUCAGCAAUUCAGUACCUGAUUAACAAAUCUGUACCCCAGGAGGUUAUGCCAAGUCCAACUUCUUCCAGAGACCACAACAAUAAAUCCAAGCCACUGCUAAUGUCAUUUAUAAGCUGUGGGAUUAAAACAGAGAAGCAAUCAAUUAAUUAAAAUUAGCUCUUUAUUGAAA